Non-coding RNA from Escherichia coli ISC11, 115 nucleotides. The record is from Rfam. NCBI's taxonomy places the organism in Bacteria, Pseudomonadati, Pseudomonadota, Gammaproteobacteria, Enterobacterales, Enterobacteriaceae.
CUUACCGGAGGCUAUAUGGAUCCCGAUCCCACCCCUCUCCCGAGACGGAGAAACAACCCUUUCCGGUAAGCCUGUCUUUCACUGUCUUACCGGAUGCGUAAGACAGUGACGUUCU